Molecule: ribosomal RNA, 492 nt
Filed under: uncultured bacterium
Lineage: Bacteria
Description: partial 16S ribosomal RNA
Rfam family: Bacterial small subunit ribosomal RNA
Source: RNAcentral
AGUGAACGCUGGCGGUAGGCCUAACACAUGCAAGUCGAACGGCAGCACAGUAAGAGCUUGCUCUUACGGGUGGCGAGUGGCGGACGGGUGAGGAAUACAUCGGAAUCUACUUUUUCGUGGGGGAUAACGUAGGGAAACUUACGCUAAUACCGCAUACGACCUACGGGUGAAAGCAGGGGAUCUUCGGACCUUGCGCGAUUGAAUGAGCCGAUGUCGGAUUAGCUAGUUGGCGGGGUAAAGGCCCACCAAGGCGACGAUCCGUAGCUGGUCUGAGAGGAUGAUCGGCCACACUGGAGCUGAGACACGGUCCAGACUCCUACGGGAGGCAGCAGUGGGGAAUAUUGGACAAUGGGCGGAAGCCUGAUCCAGCCAUACCGCGUGGGUGAAGAAGGCCUUCGGGUUGUAAAGCCCUUUUGUUGGGAAAGAAAAGCAGCAGGUUAAGACCCCGCGGUUCUGACGGUACCCAAAGAAUAAGCACCGGCUAACUUCGUG